AACAAAAAAGAAAGAACCGUCAAAACAUAAACAGAGCCGUCAACCUUGCAGUUAGCUUGCUUUAUAGUCUGUCUUUUGCAAAAAAUCUUUAUGCACGCUUUCCUAAUGUCGUGUAUUUACGGCCAGAGGAUCCCUUGUCACGGCACUUAGCUCAAUUGCUAAGCUGUGAGUUGGAGAGCAUAAAUCUGCAAUAAAGAUUAGGACUAAACUGAGAAGUACGCCUCGUCGGGCCUUCGAGUAGAGGUUCCCCCUCGGGGCGACGCAGGACAAAGAGACAGAAUGGCUGAACCUGAAGUCAAAUCUACUGCGCUGAAAGGUGGCUCUGAAGAAAAAGAUCCAGAAGAAGAGCAACACAAGGAGGAAGGUGCCUCUGGAAGUAAAGAGGGACAAACACAGUCUUCAUCUCAAGAUGAUCCCAAAGAAACAGGAGAGGCUUCAGGGGACAAGCCUAUGCCAGAUGUGGAAGGAGGGAUGAGGGCAAACAGAGAGGGAGAGGAGGAGGAGGAGGAGGAAGACACAGACAGCAUGGAUGGAAGCGGUCUUUACUCCCUGACUGAGGAUGGUGACAGAGAGAGCGAGGGAGGCAGACGGGGGAGAGUUAAGGAUAAAGAUCGCGAGAAAAGAGCAGCCAGAAAGAGGAAUAGACCUGGCGGCGGCACCAAUCACUCCUCCAGCUCAGAUGAUGAUGACGAUGACGACGAAGAAGAAGAACAGAAAGAUGAUGAUGAUGACGAUGACGACGACGAUAACGAGGCUAUGGAGGCGUGGCUGGGAGCAGAGGUCCGUGAUAUGCGUGCCCCCAUAUGGAGGUCGAUACCCUCGCUGCGCUCCAGGGAGAUCGGCAGACACACACACCAGUUUGUGAGGCGUGUGUGUGGAGCCCGGGGUCUGGUGCAGCGGCUGGAGCUGCAGGGCCGGCUGGAGAGGCACACGGGCUGCGUCAACACGCUGCACUUCAACCCCUCGGGCACACGCCUGGCUUCGGGCAGCGAUGACCUGCGAGUGGUCAUCUGGGAUUGGGCGAUCCGCCGUGCUGAGCUGGAGUUUGACAGUGGCCACAAGAGCAAUGUCUUUCAGGCAAAGUUCCUGCCUCACAGUGGAGACUCCACCUUGGCCAUGUGUGCUCGAGAUGGGCAGAUCAGAGUGGCGGAGCUCUCUGCCACACAGCGCUGCAAGAACACCAAGCGGGUAGCUCAGCAUAAAGGGGCGGCACACAAGCUGGCCCUGGAGCCAGACUCCCCCUGCUCCUUUCUGUCUGCGGGGGAGGACGCUGUGGUGUUUGGUAUUGACCUGCGCCUUGACCGUCCCGCCAAUAAACUGGUGACCGUAAAGGAGGGGGAUAAAAAAGUGGGCUUGUACACCAUCUAUGUCAACCCAGCGAAGACACAACACUUUGCUGUGGGAGGAAGGGAUCAGUAUGUGAGGAUCUAUGACCAGAGGAAGAUCAAUGAGAACGACAACAAUGGUGUGCUGAAAAAGUUUUGUCCCUCACAUCUGGUAUCCAGUGAGUCCAAAACCAACAUCACCUGCCUUGUGUACAGCCACGAUGGCACAGAGCUGCUGAUCAGUUACAACGAUGAGGACAUCUACCUGUUUGACUCCAACCACAGUGACGGGGCAGACUAUCGCAGGAGAUACAAGGGUCACCGCAAUAAUGCUACAGUGAAGGGGGUGAACUUCUAUGGGCCGUGCAGUGAGUUUGUGGUCAGUGGCAGUGACUGCGGACACAUCUACCUGUGGGACAAGAACUCUGCUCGCAUUGUCCAGUUUAUGGAGGGAGACAGGGGAGGAGUGGUGAACUGUUUGGAGCCACACCCCCACCUGCCAGGCAUGGCCACCAGUGGGCUGGACCACGACGUCAAACUGUGGGCCCCCACAGCUGAAUGCCCCACUGGACUCAAGGGUCUGAAAGAGGUGAUGAAGAAGAACAAGCGGGAGCGAGAUGAAGACAGUGUUCGUCAUGGCGACCAGUACGACACCCAGCUGCUGUGGUUCCUGAUGAGACACAUGAGGAACAGAAGGCCUCCCAGGGCCCGCCGUGAGGGUGCUGACGCAGACACAGACGAGUCGUGGAGCUCUCCAGAUUCCUCCGAUGAAGAGGAGGGAGGUCCAGACAACGUCCAGUGCAUGUCCUCCUGAGCUACACAUACUUAGACCCACACACACACACACACGCAUACAUACACACACACACACACACUGUAUUGCCAUUGAAUUGAUGCACAUAGGCAAGCACUAUUGACACACUGGCACACUCAAACACAGACGAGCCACAGACUUGCUUUUUGUUUUUCCUCAUACAGUCUCACAGAGAUGAAAACACACAUUUACUUAAACAUACUUUUGAAGAAGAGAUGCUUAACGCCUGGUUUCCCAGCAGUUGUGUGUGUGCAAAUGACAACUAAAGACUAUAUACACACUUCCAGAAUCCUGAUUUUGGGGAAUUGUACAAAGAGGUUUAGUGAGUGCUUACACCCCUACGAGCCCCUUGGAGGCUCCUGCUUGUCUAUACAUUAUCUCUAAGCUCUGCCUAGCCCCAGAACAUUGUACUGUGCAUGUGUGGCAACAACCACCUCUUCUUUAGGAACACUGUAGGAAGCUAUACACCACCAGCAGGCGUCCCUUCUCUCUUAGUAACACACCUUCUCUGGAGCUCUCUGUGCUGACGGAGGGAGGGUCAGCAGGGGGUAGAAUGGUACCCUCAAACCAUCCCCUUGAAUGUGACUCCCUUUUAAGAUUUGAACACAGGAGGGAACCCCCAGUGUACUCUGCAUCGCCCCAGUCUCAUAUUGAUUUCUGGCCCUGAGCUUGUGCAGCUAGUUUCAUUUUUCACACACUAAUUCCCCACCCCCCCCCCUGGAGGACUACUACAUCCCUACAUGCUGCAUCACCAGACAUGCUACUUCCUCCCCCUCCUCUCUGCAUCACCCCCUCCCCUUCACUACUGAGUGCACUUUGAAUCAGGGAAGCUUUUAGUUUGAGACAAAGACAAAAUGUGCACCGAGUGUGAUUUUGAGGGGGGAAGAGCUUUUGUCUUGUAUCCUUCAUUGGAGACCCCACAGUGAAGUUUAGUUAAUUUCUAUUGAUUAUUUGAGUGGGGAGAUAUUUUGCACUUAAAGGUUUUUUGACUGAGGAUUGCUUCCACCAAUCUUCCCCCCUCCUCCUCCUCCUCCCUCCUCCAUCUUUGAAAGGAAAGAUUAAAUGUUGAGGCAAAUCGCAUUGGAUGGUGAGGGGAUCUGACGUUUAAAACAAAAAAGCAAGAUUCAACCUGGAUUGAUCCCGAUUUAAAAUGUGAAAAUUGAGAUUGGAGUUAUAACCACGUGGUUCCCCAAAAUCCAUCUGUGACGCUAAAAGUAAAAAAUAAUUGUCUCAACGACAAAUAUUAGACACAUUUGAUCUAAGUCUUGGUGAAGGUUAGCACACCACCUGUUAGGAGGGGGGGGGGGUCAAUGUUCUUGCCAGUCAUUUGUUGUGAGAGCGAUAAAGUCCAGCUUUUCUCAUUUUCUAUGAGAACUCAUAGUUGAAUUUAUAUGUACAUAUAUAAAUAUAUAUUAAAACUGUAAAAAAAAAAAAAUUACGCAAAUGCUGUUUGACUCCAAAAAAAAUAAAAAAGAUGUCAAAUAAUUUGAUUGGUAUUGAUGCAGAGGUUUAUAUUCUAUAUGAGGACAAAGUACUUUUAAAAUCAAGAGAAAACGACAUGAGGCACCAUCUUGUUCUAUUUCUUUUUAUGAAUGGCAUCCCUCUGUUAUGAACAGAUCAGCUGUCAUUUCAAGUAUUACAGAUUCUAUUUCUUGUUCAAGGAAAAGGCUAAAUAGUAUUUCCUUUCUAGAUCUUAAUCCAUCAUUUGAGAAAGUUCUAUCCAGAUUUUCCCACUGGCUAUUUUUGGCAACUUGUAUACAUAAGGCGUUAGAUGAACACUUUUUUUGUCCACCACUGCCUAAUAUUGCGUUCUACCAGUUAAGUUGGAAAUAUGUACGAUUCGUGCAAUAAACAAAAAGACAGUGCUUUUGAUGUUGUCAUUU
RNA transcript from Notothenia coriiceps (black rockcod), 4022 nucleotides. It is a transcript of the gene named DDB1 and CUL4 associated factor 8, with no coding region annotated. The transcript is spliced from 14 exons. NCBI's taxonomy places the organism in Eukaryota, Metazoa, Chordata, Actinopteri, Perciformes, Nototheniidae. The record is from RefSeq and is a predicted model, not a curated record.